Molecule: ribosomal RNA, 253 nt
Filed under: uncultured bacterium
Lineage: Bacteria
Description: partial 16S ribosomal RNA
Rfam family: Bacterial small subunit ribosomal RNA
Source: RNAcentral
UACGUAGGUGGCAAGCGUUGUCCGGAUUUAUUGGGCGUAAAGCGAGUGCAGGCAGUUCAAUAAGUCUGAUGUGAAAGCCUUCGGCUCAACCGGAGAAUUGCAUCAGAAACUGUUGAACUUGAGUGCAGAAGAGGAGAGUGGAACUCCAUGUGUAGCGGUGGAAUGCGUAGAUAUAUGGAAGAACACCAGUGGCGAAGGCGGCUCUCUGGUCUGCAACUGACGCUGAGGCUCGAAAGCAUGGGUAGCGAACAGG